This is a long non-coding RNA of Juglans microcarpa x Juglans regia, 851 nucleotides long. RefSeq lists it as uncharacterized. Lineage: Eukaryota; Viridiplantae; Streptophyta; Magnoliopsida; Fagales; Juglandaceae. The transcript is spliced from 2 exons. The record is from RefSeq and is a predicted model, not a curated record.
UCCAUUUCUCAUUUCAUGGACCUGUCUAUAGGUGAUAAGUGAAAAAUUCCUAAGUGAAAAGCCUUUUCUCAAAUCGAAGCCUCCUCGUUUCUCUCUUCCACCGAAAUCUCCCUAAGUGAAAAAUCCCUCUUCUCUGAUUUGCUCACCUUCUUCGGCGCGGCCUCUACGGCUACCUUCUCCCCAAGUAAUCCAAUUUCGAGCCAAAAGGAGGCAAUUGAAUUGAAUUGAAAAAAGUUUCGGUCCAAAAAGGCAGACAACUUCACAACAAAUACAUAAUAUUUUUCGAAUAAAUUAAAAAGAAGGGUUAGCUGAGAAUAAAGCGUACAUCCUCUCUGGUUUUUGCUUGAGAUUUUGGGGAUAGGAAAUGGAUAAAGAAAAAUGGAAGGUAGAAGGCUACUUCUGCAAUCGUCCUGGAUUUUUGGAAUCUGGGAGGGAACGAAACCAACGGGUGAGAAAUUUACUUCUAGCCCUUACGCGUUUGAGAUGCGGAGAAGUAGGACAUGGAAGACUGUGUGAAGCAGACCAGGAAAUUGUGAUGCAACGAGUAGGGUGCUUUCCUCCUAUGUUCUAUGUUUCUGAUUCGAAAGUUACUUUUUUUCUCUUUGAAAAAUUAUGUUUCUUUUCUUUUUUUAUUACUAAUGGUGUUGAUGGACUGGUAAUGGUGUCGUGCGACGGUGGGCGAUGGGGAGAUGGUGUUCUUCGAUUUAAUGGGGGCUCAAAUUGAUUUCUGAAUGGAGAGAUGUGUAGAUGUGUUUCAUUAUUCAGUGUAACGAGUCUGUUGUAAUUUCUAUGAAAUUGUUGACGUGCUGGAGUAUUAUUAGAUGCUGUUAAAGCCUUAUUUUCGGAUGGAC